Molecule: long non-coding RNA, 258 nt
Filed under: Vitis vinifera (wine grape)
Lineage: Eukaryota; Viridiplantae; Streptophyta; Magnoliopsida; Vitales; Vitaceae
Description: long non-coding RNA (VVIN_LNC007698)
Source: RNAcentral
UUUUUAAAAGAAUUAUUGAGAAGGACCUUUUGGGAAGGUGUCAAUAUAGAAACAUUAAAAAUUGUGGGGUAGUUGAUAUAUCUUACAAGGAUUGAAAGGAUGGUGGAAAAGCUUGACUGAUGGUUAGAUGGUUUCUUAUUUUCCAUGGAAAAUCUGGCUUUGAAAUUUCCCCACAAAAUUUAUGAGGAACGAAUAAUGUCCAAAAUCUGCUAAUCAAAAAGACUAAACAUGGUGGAGAUAACCAAUAUAUAUAUAUAU